RNAcentral lists this ribosomal RNA (631 nucleotides) under Bacillus sp. TA57. RNAcentral describes it as "bacterial SSU rRNA". It matches the Rfam family "Bacterial small subunit ribosomal RNA", at positions 162 to 775 of the family's 1533-position model. Lineage: Bacteria; Bacillati; Bacillota; Bacilli; Caryophanales; Bacillaceae. The record is from RNAcentral.
GCUAAUACCGGGUAAUACAUCGCACCGCAUGGUGCAAUGUUGAAAGUUGGCUUUCUGAGCUAACACUGCAGGAUGGGCCCGCGGCGCAUUAGCUAGUUGGUAAGGUAAUGGCUUACCAAGGCGACGAUGCGUAGCCGACCUGAGAGGGUGAUCGGCCACACUGGGACUGAGACACGGCCCAGACUCCUACGGGAGGCAGCAGUAGGGAAUCUUCCGCAAUGGACGAAAGUCUGACGGAGCAACGCCGCGUGAGUGACGAAGGCCUUCGGGUCGUAAAGCUCUGUUGUUAGGGAAGAACAAGUACCGUUCGAAUAGGGCGGUACCUUGACGGUACCUAACCAGAAAGCCACGGCUAACUACGUGCCAGCAGCCGCGGUAAUACGUAGGUGGCAAGCGUUGUCCGGAAUUAUUGGGCGUAAAGCGCGCGCAGGCGGUCUUUUAAGUCUGAUGUGAAAGCCCACGGCUCAACCGUGGAGGGUCAUUGGAAACUGGAGGACUUGAGUGCAGAAGAGGAGAGUGGAAUUCCACGUGUAGCGGUGAAAUGCGUAGAUAUGUGGAGGAACACCAGUGGCGAAGGCGGCUCUCUGGUCUGUAACUGACGCUGAGGCGCGAAAGCGUGGGGAGCAAACAG